CCUCGCGCAGAAUAAAAUUCCAUAGAGAGAUCUUCGGCAGGUGUAAUUCUGACAUCCAAUACGAGGAAGUCGCAGGGAAAUCAGUGUGUCUGGAAAGAUUUAUUAGUUUUCGCUUUUAACAGUUUGCUCGUUUUCUUUAAAAACAACAUUUCUGACGAUUGUUUAGGGUUUCCAAGUUUUGGCCUCUCCACCAUUAUGACAGCCUGAAAGAAACGAGUAAAGAUGGGAUGUUUCGGAGCAGCUACUAGGGUACACUCAUCAUCGGUGAAUGGAAGACCUAUCCCUCCUGAUUUAGAAAAUUUUGACGGGCCAGUGAAAGAGCGACAUUGUCGUGACGUUACCUUCUUAAUUCUAUUUGCUCUUUUUUUUUGCUUUUGGGUUCUAACUAUGAUCUAACCUUUGAAAGCGAAGUUUUCAAUUCAUUACAUCUGACUCGAGGGUUCUGUGGUGGAAAAAACAAUUCUAUCAUACCAGUCGGUACAUAAGACGUGAGUUUUGUAACUGAGGACGAACGCCACCACUGCCGAAGACUGACACGGCUUUACUCGAGUGCCCUGGACUUAAAUCAAGAAUGAUAAGUUGUAUAAUUUACCUUUGAAUUGUUUUCAAACUAAGUGUGACCUAUUGGCAUCUAAGGUUGUAGUUGAAACAGUGCAACUUUUAAAAUAUAAUUUUCAAUGAACAAAACGAGAGAAAAUCUUAUGUUGAUAACGUUGAAAAGUCUUUGCCCAAGUGAAGAGAGCAUUACUG
Long non-coding RNA from Limulus polyphemus (Atlantic horseshoe crab), 750 nucleotides. RefSeq lists it as uncharacterized. The transcript is spliced from 4 exons. The record is from RefSeq and is a predicted model, not a curated record. Lineage: Eukaryota; Metazoa; Arthropoda; Merostomata; Xiphosura; Limulidae.